CUAGGUGCUAGGAAUUUCUUGAAGGAAAGUGCAGCUACAAUGAAUUUCCAUUUGGGUAUGCUCCAUUACACCAAGUAUUGCUGAAACACAACAGCAGUUGACAUUUUUGCUGGGUAAUAUGCAAACAUUGAGGGAAGGUGUAGUCAUGCUAAUAAGAAAGAGAAUUUGACUUGCACAGAAUCAUGUUUCUUCCAACAGAAUGUUUAAACAAUGCUCUGACUCUUUUUUCCAUGAAGGAGAUUAAAGCUACUUAUUAUUUGGGGGGUAUAAUUUAUAUUUAAACAUGAUAUGUAUGGAAUUUAAGAAAUUCAUUUCAGAUAUGUGAAAGUUAACAUUGGUAUGUGUAUACACACGUGCACACACGCACACAUGGGUUUGUGUGUAUGUCGGAGAGGAUCCAGGGUGACAAAAGUAAUGCCAAAAUCAUAAUGUUGAGAAAAAUAUGAAAGGUAAAUCAAAUCUUUAUUUUCAUAAAUUGCUCUCCAAUCCAGUAGUGAUAAAGUGCACGUGAAAAGACUGUAAUGUCACUUUGAAAAAAAUAUUUACCAGUUUUCAGGAAAUGAAUGUGUUUGCAUAAAACGCACUUGGCAAUUACGUAAGUUUUUUUCUUUAUCUGUUUAUCAAACAGUUGACCGUUAAGGUCUCUUUGGUUGUGCUGGGGCACUUGAUAUGCAGGCUCUUAAGCUUUCAAAAACAUGAUACAUGAGCACCUACUUCCUGCUGACUGGCAUUAUGAAGAGUUAGACUAGGGGCAGUGUAAUAACCUACUUUGAUGGCAAAUUACAUUUUUGUAAUUUGAAAUCAAUUGUAUUUUUUCUCAGAUAUUUCUCAGAUAUUCUAGUUAGUGAGCAUAUAGUGUAAUACUGAUUUUAGAAGUAGAAUUACAUGAUCCAUCACUCAGUGCUCAACAUAACAAGUGCCUUCCUUAAUACUCAUCACCCACUGAGCCCAUCCCCACCCACCUUCCCUCUAACAGCCUCGCUUUGUUUAGUUAGUGAAGAGUCCGUUUACUUCCCUCUUUUUUUCCCCUUCUAUAUUCAUCUGUUUUGUUUCUUAAAUUCUACAUAUGAGUGAAAUCAUAUGGUAUUUGUUUUUCUCUGACUUAUUUUGCUUAGCAAAGUACACUCUAGCUCCAUUCAUGUCGUUGCAAAUGGCAAGAUUUCAUUCUUUUUGAUGGCUGAGUUGUGUGUGUGUGUGUAUAUACACACACACACACACACACACACACACACACACACACACACCAUGUCUUCUUUCUUCAUUCAUCAGUUGAUGGACAUUUGGGCUCUUUCCAUAAUUUGACCAUUGCUGAUAAAGCUGCUUAUAAACAUCAGGGUGCAUGUGCCCCUUCAAAUCAGUAUUUUUGUAUCCUUUGGGUAAAUACCCAGUAGUGCAAUUGAUGGAUUAUAAAAUAGUUCUAUUUUUAACUUUUGGGAAGCCUCCAUACUGUUGCACCAGUUUGCAUUCCAACCAGUAGUGAAAGGGGGUUCCCCUUUCUCCACAUCCUUGCCAACAUCUAUUGUUUCCUGUGUUGUUAAUUUUAGCCAUUUGACAGGUGAGAGGUGAUACCUCAUCAGGGGUUUUCAUUUGUGGUUCCCUGAUGAUGAAUGAUGCUGAGCAUCUUUUCAUGUGUCUUUUGGCCAUCUGGAUAUUUUUGGAAAAAUGUGUAUUAUUCAUGUCUUCUACCCAUUUCUUAACUGGAUUAUUUUGGGGGGUUGACUAUUGAGUUUGGUAAGUUCUUUAUAGAUUUUGGAUACUAACCCUUUAUCAGGUAUACAACUUGCUGAAAUCUCUUCUAAAUACAUUAGAGGUAGGGGCACCUGCAUGGCUUGGUUGGUUAAGUGUCCAACUCUUGAUUUUGGCUCAGGUCAUGAUCUCAGGAUCAUGAAAUAGAGCUUCAUGUCAGGCUCUGCACUCAGGAAGGAGUCUGCUUGAGAUUCUCUCUCCUUCUGCCACCUCCACCCUAUUCUUGC
RNAcentral lists this long non-coding RNA (1973 nucleotides) under Canis lupus familiaris (dog). RNAcentral describes it as "lncRNA (ENSCAFG00845001863.1)". Lineage: Eukaryota; Metazoa; Chordata; Mammalia; Carnivora; Canidae. The record is from RNAcentral.